GCGGGCAUCGUAUAAUGGUAUUAUCUCAGAUUUCCAAUUUGAUGAUGGGGGUUCGAUUCCCUCUGCCCGCUCCA
RNAcentral lists this transfer RNA (74 nucleotides) under Nitrososphaerota archaeon. Its description in RNAcentral is "Thaumarchaeota archaeon tRNA-Gly". It matches the Rfam family "tRNA". Rfam says of the family: Transfer RNA (tRNA) molecules are approximately 80 nucleotides in length. Their secondary structure includes four short double-helical elements and three loops (D, anti-codon, and T loops). The record is from RNAcentral. Lineage: Archaea; Thermoproteati; Nitrososphaerota.